This 344-nucleotide unclassified non-coding RNA is filed under the name soil metagenome. Its description in RNAcentral is "partial contains 5.8S ribosomal RNA, internal transcribed spacer 2, and large subunit ribosomal RNA". The stretch from base 1 to 120 matches the Rfam family "5.8S ribosomal RNA", at positions 35 to 154 of the family's 154-position model. The record is from RNAcentral.
GAUGAAGAACGCAGCGAAAUGCGAUAAGUAAUGUGAAUUGCAGAAUUCAGUGAAUCAUCGAAUCUUUGAACGCACAUUGCGCCUCUAGGUAUUCCUGGAGGCACGCCUGUUCGAGCGCCAUUACACACUCCAAGCUCUGCUUGAUGUUGGACGACCCGAGAGAUCGGACGUCUGGAACGUGUGGGCGUCGGGCGUCGGACCACGAGCGUAGCAAGACCAUCAAACAGUCAAGUCGUUCUGUGGAGCCGGCGGUCGACCGCCUCUUUUUACAACUUUAACCACAAGUUUGGCCUCGGAUCAGGCGGGGAUACCCGCUGAACUUAAGCAUAUCAAUAAGCGGAGGA